This 440-nucleotide ribosomal RNA is filed under the name uncultured bacterium. RNAcentral's name for it is "partial 16S ribosomal RNA". It matches the Rfam family "Bacterial small subunit ribosomal RNA", at positions 338 to 795 of the family's 1533-position model. The record is from RNAcentral.
CCUACGGGAGGCUGCAGUGGGGAAUAUUGCACAAUGGGGGAAACCCUGAUGCAGCGACGCCGCGUGAGCGAUGAAGUAUUUCGGUAUGUAAAGCUCUAUCAGCAGGGAAGAAAAUGACGGUACCUGACUAAGAAGCCCCGGCUAACUACGUGCCAGCAGCCGCGGUAAUACGUAGGGGGCAAGCGUUAUCCGGAUUUACUGGGUGUAAAGGGAGCGUAGACGGCGGUGCAAGCCAGUUGGGAAAGCCCGGGGCUAAACCCCGGGACUGCAUUUGUAACUGUACUGCUAGAGUGUCGGAGAGGCAGGCGGAAUUCCUGGUGUAGCGGUGAAAUGCGUAGAUAUUAGGAGGAACACCAGUGGCGAAGGCGGGCUGCUGGACGAUGACUGACGUUGAGGCGCGAAAGCGUGGGGAGCAAACAGGAUUAGAUACCCCGGUAGUC